RNAcentral lists this long non-coding RNA (281 nucleotides) under Vigna radiata. RNAcentral's name for it is "long non-coding RNA (VRAD_LNC012053)". Lineage: Eukaryota; Viridiplantae; Streptophyta; Magnoliopsida; Fabales; Fabaceae. The record is from RNAcentral.
GGGGAGGCUAGGGAUAGAAAGCUGGUAAUUAAUAAUAGGCUCUUUUCACCAAGGGAUUGGGUUAAGGGUAGACCAAGAAAGUUUGCAUGCAAUUAGAUAAAUAAGUGAAGUAAAUAAGAAGAGUAGAUAUAUGAGAGUGUAUAAGAUGAAAUUGUAAACCCCAACAACACCAUNCAUCCAUAGUUUCUCAAAACCAAUUGAAUCAAUUGCAUUGCAUGUUUAAUUUUUUGUUCUUUGCAUACAAACCACUAAAUUUAUUCCUUUCUCAAAUCUUAUACAAU